Molecule: transfer RNA, 67 nt
Filed under: Lycostomus sp. YXY-2021
Lineage: Eukaryota; Metazoa; Arthropoda; Insecta; Coleoptera; Lycidae
Description: tRNA-Gly
Source: RNAcentral
UAUUUAUAUAGUAUAAAGAUUAUUUUUAACUUCCAAUUAAAAGAUUUAAUAAAAUUAAUAUAAAUAA